Molecule: long non-coding RNA, 1650 nt
Organism: Myotis myotis
Lineage: Eukaryota; Metazoa; Chordata; Mammalia; Chiroptera; Vespertilionidae
Exons: 3
Source: RefSeq, a predicted model, not a curated record
GCACCCGCCUCCGCCUCCUGCGCUCCGCCCCUCCCCGCCGCCCGCCGCCCCGGCGAGCCCCGCACUCCCGGGCCAGCCGCGGACCGAGCUUUGUCGCUACCACUUCCGCUGCGAGAGGCGCGCGCGCACGCGCACUCGCACGCACCGGCGGGGACGGCGGAAGUGGAGUGAAGACAGAGCUGCCCGCGCCGAGUGGGUUCUGGUUGGGUGCGGAGCAGUCGGUCCGAGUUCACCUUGUCUCUAGAAGAAGAGGGGUUGCUGGUGACAGAAGUCAUGGUCUGUCUUCCCUUCUGAAAACACAACCAGCUCCAUGAGAUCACCAAGCAAGAUUUAACGCGUUCAUGCCUGGGAACCACAAUUCCUGAUUAGAGCCACAACAAGAAGAAGGCAGCUGCUCCCCACGAGGCUUUGCCAAAGGAGAAUGACUGCAAGUUUGAAGGAAUAAAAAGGGAUUUGCUCCUUUCGGUUUUGCUUCCUGUUCCUGAGGGUCACACUAGCAAUGCUUCUUAGCAGCAGUUUAUUUCUAAAAGAGAAUCUGAAUCUAGCUUGUACUUUUCCCAACACUCUCACACCAGUCUCAUUGCCCCUCCCAGAGGUAUCAGCACAGCCAGGCAGUGUUCCCUCCUCAAAGGUCUGAAUCCCAGCCCCGGGACCCUCCUCUGAGUCUAGAGACCAGAGCACUCCCUGGCUAGUGCCACUCCUCAAAGAUCUGGGUCCUAGGUCCUUUCCCCACUUUGCUCUCGGAAUGUUUGGUGGGCCCAGACUUCUUGCACUUGCAUGCAUGGAAUUAAAAUUCAGGUCAUUGUAUUUGUAUAUUAAAGGUAAGGACAUCACAAGAAGGCUGGGGAACUGGGGGACAUAAUUCAGAUUAUGUGUUGAUUACUCCCAAACCUAUAUCAGUAUGCCAGACAUCUUUCCUAGGUUUAAAUGGAGAGCCUGUAUGUACCUCAAACAGAAUGUCUAAAAUUAAAUCAUAUUCCCCCUUUGCUCAAUGAAUUUUGACACUAUCUACCAGUUCCCUGCAAGAACUAUUUUUUUUAACCUUCACAAACAGUCUCCAAGGACUGUCAGUGUAUUUCCUAAACAUCUCCUAUUUUUCAUCUCUACUUUACAACCCUAUUUCAGAUUCACUGAACUCACUGGAUUACUGUGAAACCCUCCUAACUUGGUUUUUUUUUUUCUUUCUUCCAGGUUCUUUCACUUUUAAUCAAUUCUUGCUAGGAUGUGUAUAGCUUUAAAAAAGAUAAUAAAACAUUACAAUUUCCAGAACACAGUUCCAGAUCUGUCCAGUGACUCUGAAACACUUUUCUACCACUCCAAGUGAUUUAAGGCUCUUGUUUUUAUCACUAGUUAUGAGCAACUAGAUGAUGUGUCUUGGUGGUGUUUACUUCAUGUUUCCUGUGCAAUUUCAUUCUCUUGGAUCUUGAGUUUAUAGUUUCCAUAGUUUGGACAUUUCUUCUGUCCCCCACAGCCCCCACUUUCAGAGACUUCAAUAACAUGUACAUUUGGCUACUUGAAGUUGCCCCUCAACCCAUCGAUUCACUUUUUUUCUAUUCUUUUUUCUUCCUGUGUUUUACUUUGUAUACCUUCUAUUGCUAUGUCUUCAAUUCACUACUCUUUUCUUUUUCCUUGGCUAAUCUGUCAUUAAUC